RNAcentral lists this transfer RNA (71 nucleotides) under Stegodyphus mimosarum. It matches the Rfam family "tRNA". From Rfam's summary of the family: Transfer RNA (tRNA) molecules are approximately 80 nucleotides in length. Their secondary structure includes four short double-helical elements and three loops (D, anti-codon, and T loops). The record is from Rfam by way of RNAcentral. Lineage: Eukaryota; Metazoa; Arthropoda; Arachnida; Araneae; Eresidae.
GGCUGUGUGGUGUAACGGUACCACAUUCGGCUUGAAUCUGAGAGGUCCGUGUUCGACUCCCGGCGAAGGCA